GAUCCUGGCUCAGAUUGAACGCUGGCGGAAUGCUUUACACAUGCAAGUCGAACGGUAGAGGGGCAACCCCUCGAGAGUGGCGAACGGGUGAGUAAUAUAUCGGAACGUGCCCAGUCGUGGGGAUAACGUAGCGAAAGUUACGCUAAUACCGCAUACGAUCUACGGAUGAAAGCGGGGGAUCGCAAGACCUCGCGCGAUUGGAGCGGCCGAUAUCAGAUUAGGUAGUUGGUGGGGUAAAGGCUCACCAAGCCAACGAUCUGUAGCUGGUCUGAGAGGACGACCAGCCACACUGGAACUGAGACACGGUCCAGACUCCUACGGGAGGCAGCAGUGGGGAAUUUUUGGACAAUGGACGCAAGUCUGAUCCAGCCAUUCCGCGUGCAGGAUGAAGGCCCUCGGGUUGUAAACUGCUUUUGUACGGAACGAAAAGGUUUCCAUUAAUACUGGGAGCUCAUGACGGUACCGUAAGAAUAAGCACCGGCUAACUACGUG
This 492-nucleotide ribosomal RNA is filed under the name uncultured bacterium. Its description in RNAcentral is "bacterial SSU rRNA". It matches the Rfam family "Bacterial small subunit ribosomal RNA", at positions 15 to 507 of the family's 1533-position model. The record is from RNAcentral.